RNAcentral lists this long non-coding RNA (282 nucleotides) under Capra hircus (goat). RNAcentral's name for it is "lncRNA (ENSCHIG00000006907.1)". The record is from RNAcentral. Lineage: Eukaryota; Metazoa; Chordata; Mammalia; Artiodactyla; Bovidae.
AAAAAAAAUCAGCAAGAACACCAGUGAGAAUCCCCACUACUCCUUUCUCUUUACUAGCUCAAUCUCUUUCUAGCCUAGCUUAAAGCGUGUCUGGACUAUAAGUGUCCAGUAGGUUUGUCCCAGGAGAGAGGGACUCAAAUUAUUCCUGAUUUGAAGUCCUACACAAAGAUCCUGAGUGGUAGGAGUCAUUGGCCAAAACCGCAAAUUCAGGCCUGCAGAUGGUGCCUCUAGGGUGGCUGUCACCCAUCUCUGAAGAGUGAUACUGGAACUGAAACCCACAAG